This 498-nucleotide ribosomal RNA is filed under the name uncultured bacterium. Its description in RNAcentral is "partial 16S ribosomal RNA". It matches the Rfam family "Bacterial small subunit ribosomal RNA", at positions 29 to 523 of the family's 1533-position model. The record is from RNAcentral.
AUUGAACGCUGGCGGCAUGCCUUACACAUGCAAGUCGAACGGUAACAGGCCGCAAGGUGCUGACGAGUGGCGAACGGGUGAGUAAUGCAUCGGAACGUGCCCAGUUGUGGGGGAUAACUGCUCGAAAGAGCAGCUAAUACCGCAUACGACCUGAGGGUGAAAGCGGGGGAUCGCAAGACCUCGCGCAAUUGGAGCGGCCGAUGUCAGAGUAGGUAGGUGGUGGGGUAAAGGCCUACCAAGCCGACGAUCUGUAGUUGGUCUGAGAGGACGACCGACCACACUGGGACUGGGACACGGCCAAGACUCCUACGGGAGGCAGCAGUGGGGAAUUUUGGACAAUGGGCGCAAGCCUAAUCCAGCAAUGCCGCGUGCAGGAAGAAGGCCUUCGGGUUGUAAACUGCUUUUGUCAGGGAAGAAAUCCUCUGGGUUAAUACCCCGGGGGGAUGACGGUACCUGAAGAAUAAGCACCGGCUAACUACGUGCCAGCCGCCGCGGUAA